RNAcentral lists this long non-coding RNA (279 nucleotides) under Vigna radiata. Its description in RNAcentral is "long non-coding RNA (VRAD_LNC011779)". Lineage: Eukaryota; Viridiplantae; Streptophyta; Magnoliopsida; Fabales; Fabaceae. The record is from RNAcentral.
AAACUUAAACCCUUACUCACCUCCCUCAUUCCUCUCAACCCUUUCUCUUUCAUAUCUCUCACUCCAACAUUUUCUCUGUCAUCCUACUGUUGCCCCAAUUGAAAAAAAAAAAAUCAGAAACCCUUGCCUAACCCUAAUCCAGCUUCCUCACUUAUCCAAUUUGUUUCUCUCUCGUCUCCAUACUCUUCCUCAGCCACACACAACAACCCACGACAUCGUAAUUUGUUGCUCUUGCUAUGUUCGUUCAAUUUGAGGAUGUGUUAUAUAUUUUCCCUUCUU